Long non-coding RNA from Strigops habroptila (Kakapo), 1928 nucleotides. RefSeq lists it as uncharacterized. NCBI's taxonomy places the organism in Eukaryota, Metazoa, Chordata, Aves, Psittaciformes, Psittacidae. The record is from RefSeq and is a predicted model, not a curated record. The transcript is spliced from 3 exons.
UGCUUUCAUGCUGAAUUCUCUUUUAUCUUUUUUCUUUCCUUUGAGGAAGGGAAAAUGAGAGAAAACCACAUUCAGUAAAUGUGGAACAGAAUAUGCAGUUUUACAGUUAGCUGUAAAAAAGCAACCAGCUCUAGUCCCAUGCUGUCAAAUGUGUAUAGUAUGUUUUACUGUUGUCAAUAUAAACAGCUACCUGGCCAAAUUCAUUAAAAACAGGUUUAAAGCCUCACAUAAACCUUCUGUUUCUCACAUGCAGAAUCUUCAAUGAAUUUUAAAGGACCCUGCUGAAAUCUUGAUCAUUUAUUUCUUUUCAGCUGAACAGUUGUUGAAUGAUGGCUGCUGGAAGCACAGUAAAUGGCUUGGAUUAAGAACUGGCUAAAAAGUUACAAGGUAGGUAUGAGGGAAAAGUAAACAGCCAAGUCUCUAUUAACAUCAAAGGAGACAGUGCAGAGUGUGCAGAGAUAGCUGUGGAGGUUGCCAGAGUUCCAUAUAGCUACUGGGUUUUUCCACUUGAGGAAUGGCAAAGUGGUGAAAGUUACCCAUAGUUUCAAGAGCAUCUUGGCUGGGAAAGUCCAAAGGUUUUACUCCCAUGGAAUUUAAAUCUGUAAUUUAAUCUGAGAUAUAUUUGAUUUUGAUCUAUAAUCAAGCAACAGAAAUGCACAGGCCUUUUGUCUUUACCGUAUCCAUUAUUCAUGAGGAAAUGGGGAAAGGUGGAUUUUAUGGAAAGUUAUCUUGCAAACUAUGGAGAUGGGCUUGUAAUUAAAGCACAGUAAUCUUCACAGUCUCUUAUUUCGCCCAAGCCGGAGGAUAUACUCUAAUAUACUGCUUUCCUACCUAGGACACAAGAAUAAUCAUAAUGUUUAUGUUGAGCUGUGGCUGACAGUAUUGCUGCUUGUGGCUGCACUGCAGUUAUCUUUAGACUUCGUAGCAGAAAUGACCUACCCAGACAUCCUUUCCUCAAGGGUAGGGUAGACCUGGGAUGUCUCUGAAAUAAAAUAAUCACGUGUAUUAUCUAAUUCUGCAGCCAGCUGGAGGGUAGAAAUUUGUACCUCCCAAAAUACUCUUCUCUAUGUGGACUGAACUAUGUUGACAGGAACCACUAAAAGCUACAGUGUGAUGCAGUUAUUGCUUAGCUGUGUGAAGUAAAUCCCAGAGAUUACUGUCUCCAGCUGCUCAUCGCCACCUCUUUUGGAGUUCAUAAUCUCUGUUGAUUUGCCAAUGGCAGAUGCAAGUGCUCAAAUUACUGUUAAAACACAGCAGGUUGGUGUCCCUGCACACUUACAGGAAUCAAAUUUCUUUAAGAGGUAUGGAACACCAACAAACUGUAUUUGGCUAUGUUUUACUUGCUUUAAUCCCAUUUAUCAUAUUCGCUUUAAAUACGUCUUGCUGACAAAAUGACUUUGAAUCCAAGACUGGCUUAGCAACUUUUGGGACUUCUUAAUCAGGCAGCUUGAGAUGUAUUUUGAGUUAAACCCAAGUGAUGAAAUUAUGCUAUGGGUGCCUCAAUUCAUACCUGGGAAAUAAUGACUAUUUCAAAUACAGUUACCAUUCACUGAUGGGAGAAGGAGAAGAAGGUGGUAAUUUGUGCUUGCAGAAUCAGCUGUGCUAGAGGAGGGGUUAACACCUUUGUGGCUGUGGCAGCUGUGUAGCUGAUUUCUGUGAGAAGGUUUUUUUGGGAGAGGAGGUUUAAAUUCUGCCUGCCUGGGUAAGAAGCUCUUCUAGUGGUGGUUGCCUGGAGGGAAGGUGCUUCUGUCUUGCCCUAGCUCUACUUUUCUUCAGUGGUUUAUGAAUAAUAAAUUAAAUCAGAAUAUAGUGUUGCAGGUAAGACUGAGAAUGAUUUUGUCUUUUGCAAAGUGAGAGGUGAUAUGUAUGCAUACAUAUUUAAUAUCAGUUUUGGGGUGAAAUCCCUGGAUGUAUUACCAACUGGUACA